RNAcentral lists this ribosomal RNA (497 nucleotides) under uncultured bacterium. RNAcentral's name for it is "partial 16S ribosomal RNA". It matches the Rfam family "Bacterial small subunit ribosomal RNA", at positions 28 to 507 of the family's 1533-position model. The record is from RNAcentral.
GAUGAACGCUGGCGGCGUGCCUAAUACACGCAAGUCGAGCGAACAGACGAGGAGCUUGCUCCUCUGACGUUAGCGGCGGACGGGUGAGUAACACGUGGAUAACCUACCUAUAAGACUGGGAUAACUUCGGGAAACCGGAGCUAAUACCGGAUAAUAUAUUUAACCGCAUGGUUCAAUAGUGAAAGACGGUUUUGCUGUCACUUAUAGAUGGAUCCGCGCCGCAUUAGCUAGUUGGUAAGGUAACGGCUUACCAAGGCAACGAUGCGUAGCCGACCUGAGAGGGUGAUCGGCCACACUGGAACUGAGACACGGUCCAGACUCCUACGGGAGGCAGCAGUAGGGAAUCUUCCGCAAUGGGCGAAAGCCUGACGGAGCAACGCCGCGUGAGUGAUGAAGGUCUUCGGAUCGUAAAACUCUGUUAUUAGGGAAGAACAAAUGUGUAAGUGACUAUGCACGUCUUGACGGUACCUAAUCAGAAAGCCACGGCUAACUACGUG